UACGGAGGGUGCAAGCGUUGCUCGGAAUUACUGGGCGUAAAGGGAAUGUAGGUGGUGACGUAAGUCAGAUGUGAAAGCCCUGGGCUUAACCUGGGAAGUGCAUUUGAUACUGCGUUGCUGGAGUGCGAGAGAGGAAAGCGGAAUUCCAGGUGUAGGGGUGAAAUCCGUAGAUAUCUGGAGGAAUACCGAUGGCGAAGGCAGCUUUCUGGCUCGUAACUGACACUGAGAUUCGAAAGCGUGGGUAGCAAACAGG
RNAcentral lists this ribosomal RNA (253 nucleotides) under uncultured bacterium. RNAcentral's name for it is "partial 16S ribosomal RNA". It matches the Rfam family "Bacterial small subunit ribosomal RNA", at positions 524 to 776 of the family's 1533-position model. The record is from RNAcentral.